Molecule: ribosomal RNA, 470 nt
Filed under: uncultured soil bacterium
Lineage: Bacteria
Description: bacterial SSU rRNA
Rfam family: Bacterial small subunit ribosomal RNA
Source: RNAcentral
AGGAUGAACGUUGGCGGCGUGCCUAACACAUGCAAGUCGAACGGUGGUAGCAAUACUACAGUGGCGCACGGGUGAGUAACACGUAGCUUACCUCCCUCUCAGCGCGGGAUAACGACUCGAAAGAGUUGCUAAUACCGCAUAAGCUCACGGUUUCUAGAGGAUUGUGAGAAAAGGUGCAAAUCACUGAGAGACGGGGCUGCGGCCCAUCAGCUAGUUGGGGCGUAAAAGCGCACCAAGGCGACGACGGGUAGGGGACCUGAGAGGGUGACCCCCCACACUGGGACUGAGACACGGCCCAGACUCCUACGGGAGCAGCAGUGAGGAAUAUUGCACAAUGGGCGACAAGCCUGAUGCAGCGACGCCGCGUGGUGAUGAAGGUCUUCGGAUACGUAAAGCCCUUUUCUGCGUGACGAGACAGGACGGUAGCGCGAGGAAUAAGUCGUCGGACUAACUACGUGACCAGCAGCCGA